This 75-nucleotide transfer RNA is filed under the name Ignavibacteriaceae bacterium. RNAcentral describes it as "tRNA-Glu". It matches the Rfam family "tRNA". Rfam says of the family: Transfer RNA (tRNA) molecules are approximately 80 nucleotides in length. Their secondary structure includes four short double-helical elements and three loops (D, anti-codon, and T loops). Further hydrogen bonds mediate the characteristic L-shaped molecular structure. tRNAs have two regions of fundamental functional importance: the anti-codon, which is responsible for specific mRNA codon recognition, and the 3' end, to which the tRNAs corresponding amino acid is attached (by aminoacyl-tRNA synthetases). tRNAs cope with the degeneracy of the genetic code in two manners: having more than one tRNA (with a specific anti-codon) for a particular amino acid; and 'wobble' base-pairing, i.e. permitting non-standard base-pairing at the 3rd anti-codon position. Lineage: Bacteria; Pseudomonadati; Ignavibacteriota; Ignavibacteria; Ignavibacteriales; Ignavibacteriaceae. The record is from RNAcentral.
GGAGUAUUGGUGUAGGGGUUCAAGCAUAGAAGUUUCUCAAGCUUCAGACAUUGGUUCAAAUCCAAUAUACUUCAC